GUCUGAUUUCGCUGGCCGCCGUCGUUACCAAGGUCGGGGAGGCAGAUUAUGCUCGGACUUGUUGAUUUCGGUGCCGCAGUUGCCAAAGUCUAGCUUCAUGCCUUAGAGUGUCAUGAAGAACCUCUUCCUGGGACCCCGAAGCUUUUUGGCUUGGACAACAUGGAAAUUCUGGUGUUGGUUUUAUUGCUAGAUAUGGCGCAAGAAAAUUACUGCCAAGAGGUCAUUGUUUCAGUGGAUUAGUGGUUCUUUUCCCUAUUUUGGCUUCUCAGUUCAAUUCAUAGUGCAACGUUUUAUGGUGGACAUGGGGUGGGAGUUGCAACCCUCGCUUUGGUCUGGUGCGGCGCCACCAUCUGCGCCAUCUCCUGAUGAGGCUAUGACCAUGGUCACCCGCUACUAAUGCAGUCGUUGCGUGUGCCACGCCCGAGCCGCAUGGCCGCUGCACUGCUUCCUUGCUUUUAGUCAAACGGGCAGAUCCUCUAUUAGCAGCUUCAUGCCGUGCCACCGAUAGGCCAGCCCCCACACGGUCGUGCCACCGAAUGCUGACUUGAUCCGCCACCUGCCUUGCUUGCUGCUGUUGCGGGCUGAGCAACUGUUGCGUGCUCUACACCCUUUUGCUGCUGGCCGGCGACUCGAUUUUUCUUUCCUAGGUAUGUUUGACCUUUCCCUGAUCUUUGAUUUGGCUUAGCUUGCCCUGCGCUUCUGGUCUCUGCUCUUGAUUGUGUUGCAGCAAGCUGUGUUUCCCCUUUCUGUUGACGAGUGCCAAGGAAGACUGCUGGGUGGGAGUGAAAGUCACUGGUGACAAAUGGAUAAUUUCUUACCAUAAGCACCAGGGCUCAUGCCACUGUUGGAACGUUAUAUUGCGUUAUGUAAGAGCUGAAAAACAGACUCCAUGUAAACUUUAAG
Molecule: long non-coding RNA, 903 nt
Organism: Lolium rigidum
Lineage: Eukaryota; Viridiplantae; Streptophyta; Magnoliopsida; Poales; Poaceae
Exons: 3
Source: RefSeq, a predicted model, not a curated record